GCGGAUGUAGCCGAACUGGUAUAGGCGUACGGCUUAGGACCGUAUGGGGAAACCCGUGUGGGUUCGACUCCCACCAUCCGCA
Molecule: transfer RNA, 82 nt
Filed under: Parcubacteria group bacterium CG1_02_41_26
Lineage: Bacteria
Also listed under: 3 other names
Description: tRNA-Leu
Rfam family: tRNA
About the family: Transfer RNA (tRNA) molecules are approximately 80 nucleotides in length. Their secondary structure includes four short double-helical elements and three loops (D, anti-codon, and T loops).
Source: RNAcentral